AAGGGAAGUCGGCAAAACC
RNAcentral lists this unclassified non-coding RNA (19 nucleotides) under Dictyostelium discoideum. Lineage: Eukaryota; Evosea; Eumycetozoa; Dictyosteliales; Dictyosteliaceae. The record is from RNAcentral.